Molecule: transfer RNA, 69 nt
Filed under: Hydrosaurus amboinensis (sailfin lizard)
Lineage: Eukaryota; Metazoa; Chordata; Lepidosauria; Squamata; Agamidae
Description: tRNA-Asp
Source: RNAcentral
UAGGACAUAGUUAAAACAUAACACGACCCCGUCAGCGUCAAAUCGUAGGUCCAAACCCUACUGUCCUAA